RNAcentral lists this ribosomal RNA (282 nucleotides) under uncultured bacterium. RNAcentral's name for it is "partial 16S ribosomal RNA". It matches the Rfam family "Bacterial small subunit ribosomal RNA", at positions 62 to 339 of the family's 1533-position model. The record is from RNAcentral.
UCGAACGAGCGAGAGAGAGCUUGCUUUCUCGAGCGAGUGGCGAACGGGUGAGUAACACGUAAACAACCUGCCUUCAGGAUGGGGACAACAGACGGAAACGACUGCUAAUACCGAAUAAGUUCCAAGGGCCGCAUGGCCCUGAGGUAAAAGGAGCAAUCCGGUCUGGGGUGAGUUCGCGUCCGAUUAGCUAGUUGGCGAGGUAACGGCCCACCAAGGCGACGAUCGGUAGCCGACCUGAGAGGGUGAUCGGCCACAUUGGAACUGAGAGACGGUCCAAACUCC